RNAcentral lists this long non-coding RNA (1989 nucleotides) under Gossypium barbadense (sea-island cotton). Its description in RNAcentral is "long non-coding RNA (GBAR_LNC022065)". The record is from RNAcentral. Lineage: Eukaryota; Viridiplantae; Streptophyta; Magnoliopsida; Malvales; Malvaceae.
UGCAGCCAACCGCUCAGCCUUCUGGAGAGAUUUGCUCUGGUGUGUCAACUGCACCUACAAGUCCUUGUGGCUCUUCUCCAACAUUUGGCCAAACAUCUGUAAAUCCUCAUUCCAUCACAAGUACCAAUCCAUUUGGUGUAUCUAAUUCCCCAGUAUUUGGAACAGUAGGCACAUUUGAAGCAUCAAGCGCACCAGCUUUUGGCACUUCUCUCACUCAUGCUGUUGGAGCAUCAAAUUCUGCUUUUGGCACUUCCAAGACUCCUGUUUUUGGAGUGUCAAAUUCUGCUUUUGGCGUUUUCGACAGUCCUACUUUUGGAUCAUCUUCUACUCCUUCAUUCAGCUCUGGGUCUAGCCCUGCUUUUGGCCAAUCAACACCAGCAUUUGCCAGUAGUCCUUUUGGAACAACUACAAUUGGAGCACAGAGUUCUUUUGGUGAGUAACCAAGCCUACUUGAUCAUAGACUUCGAAACUACUUGUACGGUUAGGCAGAAAUAUAUAUUUUCAUGGGCCUUACAUGAUUUAAGGUCAAGGGAGUUCGUAUACGUAUACAUAUAUAUAUUAUUUAAAAUUCUUUGAGUUCUCAUGUAGGACCCCGAUCUUCUGCACCAGCAUUUGGACAGUCAACUUUUGGGGCUCAACGUGGGGGAAGAAGAGUUGCUUCUUACACGCCUACAAUUGACGCUGAUAGUAGCAUUGGUACACAGAUGUUCGAGUCAAUUUCAGCUAUGCCUGUUUACAAAGAUAAAAGUCAUGAGGAGCUGAGAUGGGAGGAUUAUCAAUUAGGAGAUAAAGGUACCUUUGUAAAAUAUUAAGAAAACCUGGAAGUUAUUCAUUAUUCUUUCCCAUGUUCAUUAUCGACUAACUUGCUGUAAUAAUUUGACUGUCAGUUGGAUUGCAGCCAACCGCUCAGCCUUCUGGAGAGAUUUGCUCUGGUGUGUCAACUGCACCUACAAGUCCUUGUGGUUCUUCUCCAACAUUUGGCCAAACAUCUGUAAAUCCUCAUUCCAUCACAAGUACCAAUCCAUUUGGUGUGUCUAAUUCCCCGGUAUUUGGAACAGUAGGCACAUUUGGAGCAUCAAGCGCACCAGCUUUUGGCACUUCUCUCACUCAUGCUUUUGGAGCAUCAAAUUCUGCUUUUGGCACUUCCAAGACUCCUGUUUUUGGAGUGUCAAAUUCUGCUUUUGGCUUUUCCGACACUCCUACUUUUGGAUCAUCUUCUACUCCUUCAUUCAGCUCUGGGUCUAGCCCUGCUUUUGGCCAAUCAACACCAGCAUUUGCCAGUAGUCCUUUUGGAACAACUACAAUUGGAGCACAGAGUUCUUUUGGUGAGUAACCAAGCCUACUUGAUCAUAGACUUCGAAACUACUUGUACAGUUAGGCAGAAAUAUAUAUUUUCAUGGGCCUUACAUGAUUUAAGGUCAAGGGAAUUCGUAUACGUAUACAUAUAUAUAUUAUUUAAAAUUCUUUGAGUUCUCAUGUAGGACCCUGAUCUUCUGCACCAGCAUUUGGACAGUCAACUUUUGGGGCUCAACGUGGGGGAAGAAGAGUUGCUUCUUACACGCCUACAAUUGACGCUGAUAGUAGCAUUGGUACACAGAUGUUCGAGUCAAUUUCAGCUAUGCCUGUUUACAAAGAUAAAAGUCAUGAGGAGCUGAGAUGGGAGGAUUAUCAAUUAGGAGAUAAAGGUACCUUUGUAAAAUAUUAAGAAAACCUGGAAGUUAUUCAUUAUUCUUUCCCAUGUUCAUUAUCGACUAACUUGCUGUAAUAAUUUGACUGUCAGUUGGACUGCAGCCAACCGCUCAGCCUUCUGGAGAGAUUUGCUCUGGUGUGUCAACUGCACCUACAAGUCCUUGUGGUUCUUCUCCAACAUUUGGCCAAACAUCUGUAAAUCCUCAUUCCAUCACAAGUACCAAUCCAUUUAGUCUAAAAUCUCCAUCCUUCAGCAGUGUAGGCUUUGCAACCUCGACUACUACCUCAAACCCUUCCCAA